CAGCCGCCGCGGGAAUACGUAGGUGGCAAGCGUUGUCCGGAAUUAUUGGGCGUAAAGGGCUCGCAGGCGGUUUCUUAAGUCUGAUGUGAAAGCCCCCGGCUCAACCGGGGAGGGUCAUUGGAAACUGGGAAACUUGAGUGCAAGAGGGGAGAGUGGAAUUCCAUGUGUAGCGGUGAAAUGCGUAGAUAUAUGGAGGAACACCGGUGGCGAAAGCGGCUCUCUGGCUUGUAACUGACGCUGAGGCUCGAAAGCGUGGGGAGCAAACAGGAUUAGAUACCCGCGUAGUCCCUGUCUCUUAUAC
This 301-nucleotide ribosomal RNA is filed under the name uncultured bacterium. RNAcentral's name for it is "partial 16S ribosomal RNA". It matches the Rfam family "Bacterial small subunit ribosomal RNA", at positions 509 to 807 of the family's 1533-position model. The record is from RNAcentral.